RNAcentral lists this long non-coding RNA (276 nucleotides) under Homo sapiens (human). RNAcentral's name for it is "HSALNT0167558". The record is from RNAcentral. Lineage: Eukaryota; Metazoa; Chordata; Mammalia; Primates; Hominidae.
AGAGCCUUUCCCCAGGAUCCACCCGCUGUGGUCAUCUUACUGGAAUCCCACUGAAAUCCCACUAGCUGAAGAGAUUUCUUUGGGUUGAUUGGUUUCCUGUAGGAAGGGCAGGGGGCUUUCAGUCAUUUCCAUGUUAGUAUAAACUGGUUUAAGGAGCUUCUUCCUUAACUUCUGGAGAUCAACCAAUGGCCAAAAGUGUGGCUGCUGGUUGUGCUGGGGUCCAUUUGGACUGGGGAACAUAAAGGGCAGAUAACUGGGGAUUGUGGGACACUCCUG